This 85-nucleotide transfer RNA is filed under the name Chloroflexota bacterium. RNAcentral describes it as "tRNA-Leu". It matches the Rfam family "tRNA". From Rfam's summary of the family: Transfer RNA (tRNA) molecules are approximately 80 nucleotides in length. Their secondary structure includes four short double-helical elements and three loops (D, anti-codon, and T loops). Further hydrogen bonds mediate the characteristic L-shaped molecular structure. tRNAs have two regions of fundamental functional importance: the anti-codon, which is responsible for specific mRNA codon recognition, and the 3' end, to which the tRNAs corresponding amino acid is attached (by aminoacyl-tRNA synthetases). tRNAs cope with the degeneracy of the genetic code in two manners: having more than one tRNA (with a specific anti-codon) for a particular amino acid; and 'wobble' base-pairing, i.e. permitting non-standard base-pairing at the 3rd anti-codon position. Lineage: Bacteria; Bacillati; Chloroflexota. The record is from RNAcentral.
GCCCAGGUGGUGGAAUUGGUAGACACGCGGUCUUGAGGGGGCCGUGGGAUUUCCCGUGUGGGUUCGAGUCCCUCCCUGGGCACCA